CCGAGUUCGCGCCCGUCAGGGUCGACCUCCCACCCUUGUGUAUCAUUACCUCGUUGCUUUGGCGAGCCCUUGUAAACGUUCGCCGGAGGAUGACCAAACUCUUGUAUUUAGCAUCGUCCGAGCACUAUAAAAUAGUUA
Molecule: unclassified non-coding RNA, 138 nt
Filed under: uncultured Leotiomycetes
Lineage: Eukaryota; Fungi; Ascomycota; Leotiomycetes
Description: sequence contains ITS1
Source: RNAcentral